RNAcentral lists this unclassified non-coding RNA (353 nucleotides) under soil metagenome. RNAcentral's name for it is "partial contains 5.8S ribosomal RNA, internal transcribed spacer 2, and large subunit ribosomal RNA". The stretch from base 1 to 120 matches the Rfam family "5.8S ribosomal RNA", at positions 35 to 154 of the family's 154-position model. The record is from RNAcentral.
GAUGAAGAACGCAGCGAAAUGCGAUAAGUAAUGUGAAUUGCAGAAUUCAGUGAAUCAUCGAAUCUUUGAACGCACAUUGCGCCCGCCAGUAUUCUGGCGGGCAUGCCUGUCCGAGCGUCAUUUCAACCCUCGAACCCCUCCGGGGGGUCGGCGUUGGGGAUCGGCCCUCCCUUAGCGGGUGGCCGUCUCCGAAAUACAGUGGUGGUCUCGCCGCAGCCUCUCCUGCGCAGUAGUUUGCACACUCGCAUCGGGAGCGCGGCGCGUCCACAGCCGUUAAACACCCAACUUCUGAAAUGUUGACCUCGGAUCAGGUAGGAGUACCCGCUGAACUUAAGCAUAUCAAUAAGCGGAGG